Molecule: ribosomal RNA, 209 nt
Filed under: uncultured bacterium
Lineage: Bacteria
Description: partial 16S ribosomal RNA
Rfam family: Bacterial small subunit ribosomal RNA
Source: RNAcentral
CUUGUAGGCGGUCUGUCGCGUCUGCUGUGAAAAUCCGGGGCUCAACCCCGGACUUGCAGUGGGUACGGGCAGACUAGAGUGUGGUAGGGGAGACUGGAAUUCCUGGUGUAGCGGUGGAAUGCGCAGAUAUCAGGAGGAACACCGAUGGCGAAGGCAGGUCUCUGGGCCACUACUGACGCUGAGAAGACGAAAGCAGUGGGGAGCGAACA